UACACAGAUGACUGUAAGUCGCUUUGAAUAAAAGCGGCUGCUAAAUUGCGUAUA
This is a non-coding RNA of Salmo salar (Atlantic salmon), 54 nucleotides long. The record is from Rfam. Lineage: Eukaryota; Metazoa; Chordata; Actinopteri; Salmoniformes; Salmonidae.